CCUACAAAAAUCAAAGAAAACUUGGACAAGAAUUUAUAAAGAACUAAUUUAUUCAAUUCUGCAAAAUUCACCUAAAGAGUGUUAAUUUAAGUUGGUUUUCCACAAUUUGCAUAGGAUAUGUGCCAUAAAAUGAUGGUGAAAAGUGUAUACUUUUUGCACUUAUCAAUGUGCCUCAGUCGGAUGUGGAACGGUGAGAGCCUGACCUCCAAUCGACUCGGGGCAUGGAACUACGCGAAUUGUGAUGGUGGCCCAAGCCCGGGCUAUUGACAUGCUUGCAGAGACGUCAUCAUCGCGAUUAUGGUUGGAAGCGCACACCAUCUCGGUGUGCUUCAGCACCUAUGUGCUCUAGGUGCCAGCUUGUGUGUUCCCCAUUCGGCUUGUCUUGAAACAUAUACCAAGGAGUCUGACAUGUGUGAGAGUCGGCGAGAUCGUAAACUCGUAAGGCGCAUGGGAGAUGAUUGGUGGGAUCCCCUUGUGGGUGGCACCACUUACCGACCUUCAUCUUCUAUGAAGGGUUCGAGUGAGAGCAUACAUGUUGGGACCCGAAAGAUGGUGAACUGUAGUGACGUGCAAAUGAUUUGUCUGAUUUGGGUAUAAAGGCGAAAGACUAAUCGAACCGUCUGACUUGGGUAUAGUAGUUGGUUCCCUCUGAAGUUUCGCUCAGGAUAGUUGGAGCCCACAGGCAAGUUCUAUUGGUUAAAGCCAAUAUGAUUAGAGGCAUCGGGGGCGCAACGCCCUCGACCAUUUCUCAAAUUUUAAAUAGGUAGGACGGUGUGGCUGUUUUGUUGAGCCACGCGAAAAAAUUGAGAGCUCCAAUGGGACAUUAUUGGUAAGUAGAAUUGGUGAUGUAGGAUGAACCGGAAGCUAGGUUAUGAUGCCCAACUACACGCUAACCUAGACCUCACAAAGGUUGUGGGUCCAUUAAGACAACAUGACGAUGGUCAUGAAAGUCGAAAUCCGCUAAGGAGUGUCCAACAACUCACCUACCGAAUCAAAUAGCACCAAAAAGGGAUGGUGCUAAAGUGUGCGACCUAUACCCGACCUUCAGGGUAAGGGCCAAGCCCCGUCGUGUAGGAGGGCGGGGCAGUCAUUAAAAAACCUGGGAAGUGAGCUCGGGCAGAACGGUCAACGAUGCAGAUCUUGGUGGUAGCUUCAAAUAUUUAAAUGAGAAUAUGCAAAUAUUCAUGUGAACAUCCCUUGCACAUAGGUUAGUCGAUCCUAAGGGACAAGGGAAGUUCUUUUGAUAGCGCUCUAUGUGCGCACUCUGAAAGGGAAUAUGGUUAAAAUUCAUGAACCGGGGUGUGGCGGUUGAUGGAAACCUUAGGGAGUCCGAAGACGUUAGUGGCCCCCCAGAAAGAGUUAUCUUUUCUUUUUUAAAAGCCUAUCCAUCCUAGAAACGGUGCAGCCAGAGGUGGGGUCCAGUGCCUGGAAGAGCACCGCAUGUUGCAUGGUGCCCAGUGCGCCCUUGGCGACCCUUGAAAAUCCGUAGGAGCGCGUUCCUCCCACAGCUGAUCAUAAUCAUAACCAUAUCAGGUGUCCAAGGUGAAUAACCUAUGGUAAAUGGAAAAAUAUUGGCGAGGGAAGUUUGAAAAAUGGAUCUAUAACCUCAGGAAAAAGGAUUGGUUCUAAGGGAUGGGUACGUGGGUCCUAGUCCCAAACCCGUUGGUGUGUCAUCGCGUAUCGGUCGGGGGACGGAUUGGGAAUGGGCCCUUCAUGGCCUUUUCCUUGUGUAUCGAACAAUCGACUCAGAACUGGUACGGACAAGGGAAAUCCGACUGACUCUAGUCUGACUUUGUGAAAUGACUUGAGAGGUGUAGGAUAAGUGGGAGUUGGAAACAAUGGAAAUGAAAUACCACUACUUUUAACAUUAUUUUACCUAUUCCGUGAAUCGGAGGCGGGGCAUAACCCCUGUUUUUGGACCCACGGUCUGCCUCGGUCGGUCGAUUCCGGCAGAAGACAUUGUGAGGUGGGGAGUUUGGAGUUUGGUUGGGGUGACACAUCUGUUUAAAGAUAAUGCAAGUGUCAUAAGAUGAGCUCAAUGAGAACAUAAAUCUCGUGUGGAAUAAAAGGGUAAAAGCUCGUUCGAUUCUGAUUUCCAGUACGAAUAUGAACCACAAAAGCAUGGCCUAACGAUUCUUUAGUCCUUCAAAAUUUGAAUGUUGAGGUGUCAGAAACGUUACCACAUGGAUAAUUGGCUUGUGGCAGCCAAGCGUCCAUAACGACAUUGAUUUUUUAUCCUACCAUGUCGGCUCUUCCUAUCAUUGUAAAGCAGAAUUCACCAAGUUUUGGAUUGUUCACCCACCAAUAGGGAUCAUGAGUUGGGUUUAGACCAUCGUGAGACAAGUUAGUUUUACUCUACUAAUGAUAGUGUCUCAAUAGUAAUUCAAUCUAGUACGAGAGGAACCAUUGAGUUGCACAAUUGGUCAUCGCGUAUGGUUGAAAAGCCAGUGGCACAAAGCUACAGCGCAUUGGAUCAUGACUAAACGUUUCUAAGUCAGAAUCCGGCCUAGAAGCGAUGCGUGUACGCAUUGCCCAUUUGCCGACCAGCAAUAGGGGGCCUCGA
This 2563-nucleotide ribosomal RNA is filed under the name Lupinus angustifolius (narrow-leaved blue lupine). RNAcentral's name for it is "eukaryotic LSU rRNA". It matches the Rfam family "Eukaryotic large subunit ribosomal RNA", at positions 432 to 3205 of the family's 3401-position model. The record is from RNAcentral. Lineage: Eukaryota; Viridiplantae; Streptophyta; Magnoliopsida; Fabales; Fabaceae.